This is a long non-coding RNA of Harpia harpyja (harpy eagle), 857 nucleotides long. RefSeq lists it as uncharacterized. The transcript has 3 exons. Lineage: Eukaryota; Metazoa; Chordata; Aves; Accipitriformes; Accipitridae. The record is from RefSeq and is a predicted model, not a curated record.
UGCUGUUGUUUUACUGAUACCCAAAUGCUGUGCUCUCCACAAUCAGCUGUUGUAAGUGGUGGCAUAUGUGGUUAAGAGAGCAAAGAUAACUUGUUUCUUAAGGGCCAUCCUAAAUAAAAGAUAUUUACAUAUGAUGGAUUUUAUAUUCUGUUUUGCUCUAGUGUAAUGGAUUGGAUGUUCACAAGCUGCUGCUGCAUCCAGGGCACAAGGGAUCAUACAUGGGAUGAGGAGCUGCCGGGCUGCAUGGGUGAUGGCAAGCUGACAGCAUGUGUCCAGGUUGCUUUCUACACUCCUAGACAUACAAUCAGCUACCAGUGUGAAGAAUAGAAAGAAACACGCUCAAAAGGAUACACAGAGAGAGACUUGUGAGAUUUGCAGUGAGAGGUGAUCACCAGAGUUUAUCAGCUGGAAAGCCCUCCUGUGUGAACAUGGGCAAAAGCUCUGAGUCUUCAGUUCCUGGUGGAAAGACCACCUUGUCAUGGUCAGUAUCUGAUGAUACUGAGAGAGCAGAGCUCUCAGGCAGAAGAGGAGCAUGAAAAUGUUCAGGUUAACAGAAUUCCCACAGAUCAGUCAGACACAGUGAUGUGAUGAUGGCUAAACAACUUGGGAAGGAAGAUCCACUGUACUCUCAGAAAAGCUGCUUUGGAAAACAGUAGAGAGAAGAAAGCAAAACUCAUGCAGGCAGUAAAGCCCAGUGGGGGAUGCAGCAUCUGAAGGCAAGGCAGGCGUGGGAGCACAGACCUGGGGAGGAACAAGAGAGGGGAAGCAGAGUGGAAGCAUGCGAAACAUUGAAUGGAACCUGUAUGUGCUCUUCCAGCUACAAAUCACUACACAUUUAGCAAAAGAGAUGGAAUUAC